UUUGGCAGGUUGCUGGACUUGCCAUUGUUUCUGUUAUUUGUUUUACCUCAAGUUCGGUUGUUGCUUUUUUCACAAAUAUACCAGUGCUGUAUCAUUGUGAUUGGCGGAGCUUUAGAGGGAUCUAUGUCUCUCUUCUACUGAUCGUAUACUAUUUUAUAGGUUCAUCUGUACCUUCAGCUUUUGUAUUAUGGAUAAUGAGAGAACUGCCGCCGUCGGUUGUGAUAAACGUACCCGAAGAAUCAAGAACACUUGCUUUUGUUAGUGACUAUUCACCUGCAACAGAACCCCAGCAGAAUUGGACAACGAUUGCUACUGCACAGAAUCAGGCACUAAAAGCAAUCCACUAUUUAUAUUUGAUCAUCAGGUGGUGGGCUCAGGAUCCCUUUCAAUCACAGCAACCCGCAAGCCAUGGCUAAUAUGCUUUGGAGAUAAAUCUCAUUAGUUUUGAUAUCAACAACGUGAUAUGAAGAUUCACAAUGUAGGAACACGAGAAACCAAUUGGAUUUUCGUUGUUGCGAUACCCACAUCGUAACAAAGGUCUGGCCUUCACUGACAAAGAGAGAGAUGCUCAUUAUUUACGUGGUUUUUUCCUCUGGUUGUCGAUCACGAUCUUCAGGUUUUUAUAUUUUUUGUACUCGCCCCAGCUUCUAUUUUUCUACAUCUUUUCUGAAUUGUCAACUAGCCCAAGUGACUGAACGAACUUUGGAUAGUUUGGGAGCUGAGAGCCAUUGGAAGGUUUCUAUAUAAGUACUCCUAAGCUGAAGCCGAAGAAUAUAAUAAUUUUCAAAGACUGGGAACCACCCGACCCGCUCAUUACCAUGUACUUCUCAAUCAGAUUGGCUUCUCUGCAUAUUAGUUACAUCCUAUGUUGGAUACGGGGUCAGGGCCAGACAGGUGGAGGUGCUAUUUAGAAGGCUCGGGCGAGUUUACUGUUUGCAACCUUCAUUACAAGCUACAAAGGUCUGGUGCAUUCAGUAGUGGGUUAUGUUUCUGCCAGAACAAUUGGUCUCUCUUGAAAGUGAUUUUUUUAGCGUGGAGGGUUGCUUUAAAUGGGUUACCCACGUUGACAGCCUUACAGCAGAGAGGAAUUGGUUUGGGCUCGGUCCGAUAGCCUAAUAUAUUAAUUUCCAGGGUCUCCAAAUAUAUGUAAUAAUUUCUUUUUCGGGUUGUC
Helianthus annuus (common sunflower) is the source of this 1171-nucleotide long non-coding RNA. RefSeq lists it as uncharacterized. NCBI's taxonomy places the organism in Eukaryota, Viridiplantae, Streptophyta, Magnoliopsida, Asterales, Asteraceae. The transcript is spliced from 9 exons. The record is from RefSeq and is a predicted model, not a curated record.